Molecule: ribosomal RNA, 713 nt
Filed under: uncultured bacterium
Lineage: Bacteria
Description: bacterial SSU rRNA
Rfam family: Bacterial small subunit ribosomal RNA
Source: RNAcentral
GAACUUAGCUUAGUGGCGGACGGGUGAGUAACGCGUGAGUAACCUGCCUUUCAGAGGGGGAUAACGUUCUGAAAAGAACGCUAAUACCGCAUAAUAUAUUGGUGUCGCAUGGCACCGGUAUCAAGGGAGCAAUCCGCUGAAAGAUGGACUCGCGUCCGAUUAGCCAGUUGGCGGGGUAAAGGCCCACCAAAGCGACGAUCGGUAGCCGGGUUGAGAGACUGAACGGCCACAUUGGGACUGAGACACGGCCCAGACUCCUACGGGAGGCAGCAGUGGGGGAUAUUGCACAAUGGAGGAAACUCUGAUGCAGCAAUGCCGCGUGAGGGAAGACGGUCUUCGGAUUGUAAACCUCUGUCCUUGGUGAAGAUAAUGACGGUAGCCAAGGAGGAAGCUCCGGCUAACUACGUGCCAGCAGCCGCGGUAAUACGUAGGGAGCAAGCGUUGUCCGGAUUUACUGGGUGUAAAGGGUGCGUAGGCGGCUCUUUAAGUCGGGCGUGAAAGCUGUGGGCUUAACCCACAAAUUGCGUUCGAAACUGGAGGGCUUGAGUGAAGUAGAGGUAGGCGGAAUUCCCGGUGUAGCGGUGAAAUGCGUAGAGAUCGGGAGAAACACCAGUGGCGAAAGGCGGCCUACUGGGCUUUAACUGACGCUGAGGCACGAAAGCAUGGGUAGCAAACAGGANUANAUACCCUGGNAGUCCAUGCCGUAAACGAUG